CCUAGAGUUUGUGGACUUCGGUCUGCUACCUCUUACCCAUGUCUUUUGAGUACCUUCGUUUCCCUCGGCGGGUCCGCCCGCCGGUUGGACAACAUUCAAACCCUUUGCAGUUGCAAUCAGCGUCUGAAAAAACUUAAUAGUUA
This 143-nucleotide unclassified non-coding RNA is filed under the name soil metagenome. Its description in RNAcentral is "partial internal transcribed spacer 1". The record is from RNAcentral.